Molecule: ribosomal RNA, 431 nt
Filed under: uncultured bacterium
Lineage: Bacteria
Description: partial 16S ribosomal RNA
Rfam family: Bacterial small subunit ribosomal RNA
Source: RNAcentral
AACGAACGCUGGCGGCAGGCUUAACACAUGCAAGUCGAGCGCCCCGCAAGGGGCGCGGCCGACGGGUGAGUACCGCGUGGGAACGUACCUUUUGGUUCGGAACAACUCCGGGAAACUGGAGCUAAUACCGGAUAAGCCCUAACGGGGAAAGAUUUAUCGCCGAAAGAUCGGCCCGCGUCUGAUUAGCUAGUUGGUGAGGUAACGGCUCACCAAGGCGACGAUCAGUAGCUGGUCUGAGAGGAUGAUCAGCCACACUGGGACUGAGACACGGCCCAGACUCCUACGGGAGGCAGCAGUGGGGAAUAUUGGACAAUGGGCGCAAGCCUGAUCCAGCCAUGCCGCGUGAGUGAUGAAGGCCUUAGGGUUGUAAAGCUCUUUUGUCCGGGAAGAUAAUGACUGUACCGGAAGAAUAAGCCCCGGCUAACUUCGUG